AACUGAUACUACCUGCGGGAACCUGCGGAGGGAUCAUUACCGAGUUUACAACUCCCAAACCCCUGUGAACAUACCAAUUGUUGCCUCGGCGGAUCAGCCCGCUCCCGGUAAAACGGGACGGCCCGCCAGAGGACCCCUAAACUCUGUUUCUAUAUGUAACUUCUGAGUAAAACCAUAAAUAAAUCAAAACUUUCAACAACGGAUCUCU
This 208-nucleotide unclassified non-coding RNA is filed under the name soil metagenome. Its description in RNAcentral is "partial contains 5.8S ribosomal RNA, internal transcribed spacer 2, and large subunit ribosomal RNA". The record is from RNAcentral.